CGCUUGAAUCCACUCCGUCUACGGUGAGGGGCGCCGCCAUGUUGGAUUUGACGUCACUGUAGGAGGGCGGGGCCUUUAACUAUGAGGCGUUCAGGAACUAUCGAUGAUUUCACCGAGCAGAGCAUUUUUAAUUAUUUUGUGGAAGCUGAAUUAGUGAGGAUGACUCCUGCUCCUGUCAUCUCUAAGCUCCUCACACAUCUUUACCUGCACAUGAGGAAAAUCACUCCUGUAGAAUGCAGAUGUUCAGAGGGAGAUGAUGCCACAUCUGGUCCAGCUGAUGGAAGGUCUUGAAGUUCUCUGACUGGCCUCGACUGAAGAUGGUCCUCUCACUAUGUUUAAGGUUCAGAUGCUCAGUAACAAACUCCAACAAUGUGCCAACAGGGAAGCUUUAGGUUUAUUAAAUGUUGCUAUGAAGGUAUCGCUGUUUUUCUUUGUGAAUGCAAUGAGCUCCAACUGAAACUUGAAUUAGAACUUAGAAGUAAAUCCUUCCAUCUGAAAGGAUUUAGUUGCAUUAAUAACCUCAUAACAUUCUAGUUUUUAUUCCAGUCUUGGUUGGAAAUAGAAUCUCUGUAUUGAUUCAGGUAAAAACUGAACUUCACAGCAUGUUGAAGCAAAACAACCAGAUGAAAACUGUGAUGGUGUUGGAUUGUCAGACCGUAAUGUUGCAGCUCAAAGCAGCUUUUCUAGCUCAGUUCAUUCUGACAUUCAGCUAUGAAUCAACACAGCAGAUGGUGAUCCAUGCUGUGGAAGUCUCACAUCUCCUGAUUUAAUGGCGCUGCUUUGCACUUUUUACGCUGUUUAUUCACCAACACUUUAUUUAAUAAAAGUCCCAUCUAGUUUUUAUGAGGAAUGUGAUGUUUUAAUUUCUCUGUGAAUAACUGCAGUCUAAUGCAACAGCUGGAGUUGUAACAUCUGUCCUGAUAUUGAUCAUGAAGUAUUGAUCAGAAUACUUAUGGUUAGCAGUCAUCCCUGAAGUUUUACAUUAAAAUCUUUACUUGUGUUGUGAACUUUGAUAAGAAGCAGAAACAUUAGCGUUGCCAUGGAUACAUGAGUGUUAAAUUCUGUCCAUGUUUCCAUUUUGGGAAAUUCAGUCCAGUUCCAGAAUGUGGAGGAAUUUAGUCUCACAAUCACAGACAACAAAUAUUAUCUGAAAAUUGAGUUAUUGUUGUUUAUCAGCACAAUACAAAAAGAUUAAUGUUAGAAAUAUUCCAGUUAAGACUCUAGAAUAUCAUGAUUUAUGUAAAUUUACCUCAAUAAUAUGAAUGUUCAGGGAUAUUUAUUAUGUAAGUUCAGCUGAUUAAAGUUUAUGACUCCGCACUAAAAUAUUAUUUAAAUUGACAUCAUUAUUAUAAUAUUUAGGGUCAGACCCUACAGUAUUGAGAUUAAGAAAUCAAAUAUUCUAUAAAAUGUAAAUACACUGAACUCAUUGGGAUAUAUUUAAUUGAGACUCUACAAUAUUAUUUGACACAAAUCUAUCUAAAUCAAAAUUUUAAUAAUUUUCACGCCAAACAUUUACUGGACUGAUUUAAACAUUAAAAUCACUCCUUUCUAAUCCUCUGCUGUACGUUCAAAACUGAGGCCUUAAAUAGAAACACACAAGUAUCUGAUUGAAGGAACUUCUGCAGAGUCCUGGUUCCAGAACAUGAUGAUAAAAUUAUAGACAAACUUUAACAAAAGCUGCCUGAGAGUUUACAGGUUUUUAUGUUGGAUUUCUUCAGUAAUUUAAUGAGAGUUAUCAGCAAAAAUCAAGUGUUCAUUUGAUGAACUUGAGUUCCUAAAACAUCCAGAAUUUGAGCUCAUAUCUUUGACAGCUGUAAAGUUUCUGCUCCUUCAAAGUUCACAACACAAUGAAUGAAUUCCUAAAACACUCUCAAUGCUGGAGAGCGUUUGAUGCUGAAGCAGUGACCAGUUUUUCUGUUUCUUCUCUGGAGAUGCACAAUGAGGGACGUCUGCAGAGACUGAGAAAGAGUCUCACCUCAUCCUGACAUGAGGAAAAAGACUUUAUUGAAGACUACAAUGAGGAAAAACUAUCAGACAGCAGACGGCUGCAUUCAAGGCUACAGGAGGAGCCCUACGAGGACGAGCCGGUCCACCUGAUGGCGGCCAGUCGCUGCGGUUCAAAGCCAACACCGACUACAUGGACUUCUACUGGACCACACGGAGGCCUUCAAACCGGACCAACAAGUUCAGCGACUCCCCGACUCGUGGGUCUGAGGACGCCGCCGAGCCUCGGCCCAGCCGGCCUCCUGUCUGUGGGUGUUUGAGUGCUGAGAGGUUUGUGGAUGCAUGUGAACGUUCUGUGUUGAAACAGCAGCUUUGGACUCACUAACGCUGGGAAAAACCAAGAGCUCCUUUAUUUGUGACUUCCACUAAAAAAACUGAUGAAAAUAAGUUUGCCAGGGUUCUGACUGAUAACAGAUUAUUAAAUAAUGAAAAUAAUCAUUUAAAUAUUCCUUUAAACAAUCCUUUUAGGUCUACAUUUCCUUUACACUGAAUUCUUGGUAUAUGUAACAAGUAUUUUGGGUGGAAUAUACCAUUAAGCCGACUGUUCAAGGGUUUUUCUAGGGAUAUACCAUUAAACCAACCUUUUAGGUAAAUGUUCCAGGAUGUUGGGUAGAAUAUACCAUCAGAUAAACCUUUUAGGUCUACGUUGGAAGAUUUUAGAGUAGAAUAUUACUCCAAACCAUCCUUUAGGUCUACAUUUAAGGUGGAAUACUCCUUUACACCAAGAUUUUUUGGUCUAGGAUUUUGGAUGGAAUACUCGGUUAAACCAACAUUUUAGCUGCAUGUCCAAGGAUUUUUGGUGGAACGUUCCUUUAAGGUGGAUGUUUGAGGACCUUGUAGGUGGAAUACUUCCCGAAACCAACCUUUUAGGUCAACAUUCAAAGAUUUAAGGUGAAAUAUUCCUUUAAAUCAACCUAAAUUUCAUGUUUUGAUCAUUAUCAAGUGAGAAACCUCAAUGUAGACUCCUCAUAAUGACGUUUGAGAUUUAUGCUGCUGUUAUUUGUUUAGUCAAGACUAAAUGACAGAAAUCCACAACUGUAAUUUUAUUUAAGGACUCGGUUAUUAAAUGUCAAAACAAUCCAUGUGACUCUAAAAACUCAACAGCUUUACAAACUCUAAGAUUAAAUUUUCCACAAGGAUCCAAAACAAGUUGGACUUCUACAUGAGAGCUUUAAUUAUUCUUCAUCUACUUCCUGAAAAGUUUGGUCAAUAAAAAAAGACAAAAACUAAUAUUUUCAGCUGAACUAAAGACAGACUUUGCGAUUUUUCUGCUCACAUGUUGUGUUGUUGUAAACUUACUCUUUCAAAUAAAUAUCCUCCUAACCCCCUGGAAACCAGCGUUUGUCCUGUUUUUGUGUUGCUCCUCGGCGACCCUAGACAGCCGGGUCCUAAUGUUUUUUGAGCAACACACCAUACUAUGAUGUUUUUACAAUGAUGGUUCUACUAUGAAGCCAGUUUGACAUGUUCAGGUGUUCUUUGUGUGAAAACUCAGAGAUUUCAGGUAUCGGAAGGUGGUUUUUCAACUUUCUUUGUUAACUUUCUGCUUCAACUUUAAACUAAAUUUCCUUCACUAACCCAGCCCUCUGGACUUCCAGUAAGCUGUGUUCUUAUUGGCUGUCCAGGUGGCUGCUUGGUGUUAUCAGGAACACCUGAGCAGCUCAGUGUCUUCCUGCUUUAUUUAGCUGCAGUCAAACAUUUCUUCUGCUUCUCUUCACCACUGAACCGGGUUUGGCUUCAUUGCUUUAGUUUGUUCUUUAGGUGUUUGCUUGCAGCUUCCAGCAGUAAAAUCGUCUUUAAUGUGUUUCUUGGUGUGUUUUAGGGCUUUGUACUGGAUAGUUGUCUUGGUAAAUGUGGUUCUUUAGCCACAGUUAGCACAUGGUGCUACUGUGUGCAGUGAUUAGUGGAUUUGCUGCAGCUGAGUUGUGUCUUUAUCUUGGCUGUAGUGAGUCUUUAGAGGUUUUUGGUCAGAUACAUUCUGUAUUCUUGUUUGUGAACCAACGUUGGUUGUCCAGAAGGUAAGAGUUCCUGUCCUGAUUCUCUGUUCUCAGAGGUUCUCUGGUAGGCUGCAGGAGACUUUAGUGUUUGGGUUGUGCUAGUUUGGUUUUUGUACGGUUUCAUUUGGACGACUAUCUUGAGGCCCCUCUAUGUGGUUUAGUGAGGUUUUCUGCAACAGUUCUACAAAGCAACCUGCAGCAGAAGAGACUUUGAGAGUUUUUAGGAAGUUCUGGAGACCAGACUUUAGAGCAGCAGAAACAUUUGUCAGCAGUUUGAGCAGGAGAAGGUGAGCUUCAGAGUAGAAAUGAGACGGAAACCUUCUUGACCCGUGUGGUGAGGUCCUGUACCAAGAGUUUGAGCAGGUUGUGAAGAGUCUGUAGUUCUUUGGUCUGAAAGCACAAGAAGAGUCGACUCAUUAAAGGAGAAAACAGGAGAUAUUGUUGGUUCUUCUGUCACUCUGCAGUUUCCUUAGACUGAAUAUCAAGUUUAUAUUUUAAAUGAUUUCCCAUGUGAGCCCAAGAAGACUUCAAUAAACUCCAUCCAUCCCCU
Amphiprion ocellaris (clown anemonefish) is the source of this 4548-nucleotide long non-coding RNA. RefSeq lists it as uncharacterized. The transcript has 4 exons. NCBI's taxonomy places the organism in Eukaryota, Metazoa, Chordata, Actinopteri, Pomacentridae. The record is from RefSeq and is a predicted model, not a curated record.